GUCUCUGUCACGCAAUGGAUUGUGUGUUGGACUUCUAAUCCAAAGGGCGGGGUUCGAAUCCCACCUGGGAUG
Trichonephila inaurata madagascariensis is the source of this 72-nucleotide non-coding RNA. The record is from the annotation of a GenBank genome assembly. Lineage: Eukaryota; Metazoa; Arthropoda; Arachnida; Araneae; Nephilidae.